GCCUGCGCGGACGUCGAUGGGUUUGUGGGCGCAGGGCGCGAGGCGCGAGGCGGUAGCUGGGCUAGUCCUGUUCCCUGGCGUCUGGGCCUUUCUGCUCUCCGCAAGGAGCUGGGUCGCGACCUGUCACUGCCAGCCGUGCGCUCGCCCUCUGCGCCCCGUCUCGUGGUCACUGCCGCCCUCCCUCCCGCCACACCUGUGAUGAUCGCUAUGGAGCCGCGCCUCAGGUGGCAUUACUAUAAACCUAAGAGGAGAGGCGCCCGUUCGAAUAAGGGCAAAUUAUUUAGUAUUUUCACUGGGCAGCACUGAGUCUUGACUAUAUUCCAGAACUUACCUCCAGCCUUUCCCGAUGACUAUCAAUGCUUCUAGCAUCCCCAGCUACUCAUGGAUCAUCAUCAUCAUCACCAAAAGUCUUCAAUGUUCCUGGCAGCUUAAAGUACCAACUGGGACACUUGUCACUAGUUUGAGAAGUGCAGCCAUAGUGACCUCUUUUGAAAGAUGAAUCAAUGAAUUAAGUCAUUUCUGAGAAACCAAGGAGGCCUGUUGAAGGAGGCUGGCCCUCCUGUGGCAGGUAACCCAACCUCCACUGCCCUUGGCAACAGGACAAGGCUAAUAUUUUCCCAAGAAGGGCCUUUUCAUGGAAUGAUCUUUCCAACCCGUUGACUACAACAAGCUGCCGCUCAGUCUUUUUUCCAUAGAGAGGACGUUUUUCCCCCAGAACAAGCAGGUCUUUUGUACCAGAAGGAAAAGAUUGCCACUCACCACUUGUUACUUUAUAGCCUUCGAAGCCCAACCCCAGGUGCUAGCUUUGAAACCCAACUUUGCCACAGACCAGCAUGUUGAUGGAGAGGCUCUCACCCACAAGCAUGGAGUGGGAGGGUGAUUUCCUGGGAGAAAGAAAGCCACUUUCUUUUUGGAAGCCAACGAAUGCCAAGUAGAUGCCACCAAAGCCAGUGAUGGCUUGUGAAAGCCCAGUGUCCUGGGACAGGAAAGACAAGGGGAUCCCAGCCAAGUCUGACUGCAAUGAGGCCAAACGUUGCCCCAGAGCAAGACUUCAUCUCCCUUUUCCUGACAAACCAUUGAUGGCUGCGUUUCACAUUAACCUAGAUUAAAAGUCUCCUUGAAAUGUAUAAUUGUAAUUAAUUAUUGGUUCAUUUGUUUGUCUCACCCCCACCCCCAGAAUGUUACUUAAUGGUAUGGAGGGAUUACCUUUAUCUUUGUAUCAUCAGAGAUCAAUAAAUGCAUGCUGAAUAAAUAAGUGUGAAAUA
This 1265-nucleotide long non-coding RNA is filed under the name Homo sapiens (human). RNAcentral's name for it is "HSALNT0300932". The record is from RNAcentral. Lineage: Eukaryota; Metazoa; Chordata; Mammalia; Primates; Hominidae.